CCUACGGGGGGCUGCAGUCGGGAAUUUUGGGCAAUGGGGGAAACCCUGACCCAGCAACGCCGCGUGAAGGAUGAAGUAUUUCGGUCUGUAAACUUCGAAAGAAUAGGAAGAAUUAAUGACGGUACUAUUUAUAAGGUCCGGCUAACUCCGUGCCAGCAGCCGCGGUAAUACGUAGGGACCACGCGUUGUUCGGAUUUACUGGGCGUAAAGGGCGCGUAGGCGGCAUGGUAAGUCACUUGUGAAAUCUCCGAGCUUAACUCGGAACGGCCAAGUGAUACUGCGGAGCUAGAGUGCAGAAGGGGCAAUCGGAAGUCUGGGUGUAGCGGUGAAAUGCGUAGAUAUCAAGAGGAACACCGGAGGUGAAGACGGGUUGCUGGGCUGACACUGACGCUGAGGCGCGAAAGCUAGGGGAGCAAACGGGAUUAGAUACCCUAGUAGUC
Molecule: ribosomal RNA, 440 nt
Filed under: uncultured bacterium
Lineage: Bacteria
Description: partial 16S ribosomal RNA
Rfam family: Bacterial small subunit ribosomal RNA
Source: RNAcentral